GUACGGAAGGCAGCAGUGGGGAAUUUUGGACAAUGGGGGAAACCCUGAUCCAGCCAUGCCGCGUGGGUGAAGAAGGCCUUCGGGUUGUAAAGCCCUUUCGGCGGAGACGAAACGGUUUGCACUAACACUGCAGACUAAUGACGGUAUCCGCAGAAGAAGCACCGGCUAACUACGUGCCAGCAGCCGCGGUAAUACGUAGGGUGCGGGCGUUAAUCGGAAUUACUGGGCGUAAAGCGUGCGCAGGCGGUUUGUUAAGACAGAUGUGAAAUCCCCGGGCUUAACCUGGGAACUGCGUUUGUUACUGGCAAGCUAGAGUGUGGCAGAGGGGGGUGGAAUUCCAAGUGUAGCAGUGAAAUGCGUAGAUAUUUGGAGGAACACCGAUGGCGAAGGCAGCCCCCUGGGCUAACACUGACGCUCAUGCACGAAAGCGUGGGGAGCAAACAGGAUUAGAUACCCCGGUAGC
RNAcentral lists this ribosomal RNA (463 nucleotides) under uncultured bacterium. RNAcentral describes it as "bacterial SSU rRNA". It matches the Rfam family "Bacterial small subunit ribosomal RNA", at positions 339 to 794 of the family's 1533-position model. The record is from RNAcentral.